UACGUAGGGUGCGAGCGUUAAUCGGAAUUACUGGGCGUAAAGGGCGCGUAGGCGGCCUUCUAAGUCGAACGUGAAAUCCCCGGGCUCAACCCGGGAACUGCGUCCGAUACUGGAAGGCUUGAAUCCGGGAGAGGGAUGCGGAAUUCCAGGUGUAGCGGUGAAAUGCGCAGAUAUCAGGAGGAACACCGGUGGCGAAGGCGGGUCUCUGGGCCGAUACUGACGCUGAGGAGCGAAAGCGUGGGGAGCGAACAGG
Molecule: ribosomal RNA, 253 nt
Filed under: uncultured bacterium
Lineage: Bacteria
Description: partial 16S ribosomal RNA
Rfam family: Bacterial small subunit ribosomal RNA
Source: RNAcentral